Molecule: small RNA, 124 nt
Filed under: Flavobacterium sp. 102
Lineage: Bacteria; Pseudomonadati; Bacteroidota; Flavobacteriia; Flavobacteriales; Flavobacteriaceae
Description: Flavo-1 RNA
Rfam family: Flavo-1 RNA
Source: RNAcentral
AGCUAGCCCCGAUAGCAGUGGAAAUCCUUUUGUUUUGUAAUAGGGCUUCGACUCCCGAAGCGUAGGCACAGCCUGACAAAAUGCGUGACAAAACAAAAGAUUGUAGCGCAUAGCGGGACAACGG